GUGGCUCAAAGGAGUAGGGCGCUGGCCCCAUAUGCCAGAGGUUGCGGGUUCAAACCCAGCC
Molecule: non-coding RNA, 61 nt
Organism: Otolemur garnettii (small-eared galago)
Lineage: Eukaryota; Metazoa; Chordata; Mammalia; Primates; Galagidae
Source: Rfam